This 387-nucleotide ribosomal RNA is filed under the name Triticum aestivum (bread wheat). RNAcentral describes it as "partial small subunit ribosomal RNA". The record is from RNAcentral. Lineage: Eukaryota; Viridiplantae; Streptophyta; Magnoliopsida; Poales; Poaceae.
UGGCCAAACUGUAACCUUUGUCCACUAUGCAAGCAAGUUCAGGAGUCGGCGGCCCACCUUCUAUUCCAAUGCCGAUACACUUUCAGAGUUUGGCGUAUGAUCAAAGAUUGGCUUGGUCUCCAUGAUGUGCAUCCUUCCGAUUGGAGUGACGCGACUUCCGUUAAAGAGUGGUGGAGCCACAAUGCUAACAAGAAGACCUAAUCGCGAAGGCUGCUUGCUUCCUUGAUGUUGCUAAUCUCUUGGGAGGUAUGGAAAGAGAGGAAUGCACGAAUCUUUCGUAAUAAUGUCGUUCCGGUGGGAGUCGUCGUUGCUAGGAUUAAAGAGGAGACCUUACUUUGGAGCAUUGCGGGAGCAAGGCACUUGAAUAACAUAAUGCCGCGAGAUUGA